CGCGUAGGCGGUCUUGUGUGUCUGCUGUGAAAGCAUGCGGCUCAACCGUAGAGAGUCGGUAGAAACUGCAAGACUUGAGGCUGGGAGGGGCUGGUGGAAUUCCCUGUGUAGCGGUGAAAUGCGUAGAUAUAGGGGAGAACACUCGUGGCGAAGGCGGCCAGCUAGACCAGUCCUGACGCUGAGGCGCGACAGCGUGGGGAGCAAACA
RNAcentral lists this ribosomal RNA (207 nucleotides) under uncultured bacterium. RNAcentral's name for it is "partial 16S ribosomal RNA". It matches the Rfam family "Bacterial small subunit ribosomal RNA", at positions 568 to 774 of the family's 1533-position model. The record is from RNAcentral.